This 215-nucleotide ribosomal RNA is filed under the name uncultured bacterium. Its description in RNAcentral is "partial 16S ribosomal RNA". It matches the Rfam family "Bacterial small subunit ribosomal RNA", at positions 524 to 737 of the family's 1533-position model. The record is from RNAcentral.
UACGUAGGGCGCAAGCGUUGUCCGGAAUUAUUGGGCGUAAAGAGCUCGUAGGCGGUUUGUCGCGUCUGCUGUGAAAACCUAAGGCUCAACCUUGGGCUUGCAGUGGGUACGGGCAGACUAGAGUGCGGUAGGGGUGACUGGAAUUCCUGGUGUAGCGGUGGAAUGCGCAGAUAUCAGGAGGAACACCGAUGGCGAAGGCAGGUCACUGGGGCCGC